Long non-coding RNA from Lampris incognitus (smalleye Pacific opah), 817 nucleotides. RefSeq lists it as uncharacterized. The record is from RefSeq and is a predicted model, not a curated record. Lineage: Eukaryota; Metazoa; Chordata; Actinopteri; Lampriformes; Lampridae. The transcript is spliced from 4 exons.
UCAUAGUUUUUCUCCCUGUUAUGUUUUUUUUUGGGGGGGGGGUUGUUCCUUAUCCGAUGUGCCAAGGACAGGAUGUUGUGUUUCUGUAAAGCCCCUUGAGGCACAUUUGUAAUUUGUGAUAUUGGGCAAUACAAAUAAAAUUGACUUAAAUGUUUUCCAAAUGGAUAAUAAGACAUAUGUCGACACGUCUACAUGUUUCGACAGGAGUAACGGAUGUGGCUGGUUAAGAAGACGAAAUGAAAGUAAACUGAAGAGAGCUGAUUCAAGUGCAGCGUCACAUGAACUCAGAUGAUAAAAGAGACAGCGUAAAACAGAAUACACAUUGGAGCCCUAAAUGGACCAGUAAACCCCAGAAAUGGCACACGACACAUCAGAUAUGGAUCUCCAGACUUGCCACUGCGGCUGGUCCAGGUUCACAACUCUUCAGGGUCUGAGAAUUCACCAGGGGAAGAUGGGAUGCAACAAAAAGGGAAUGAGAUAUGCUGAAACACCAACUCCACCACAAGUGGAAACUCAGUGGAGGAAGGUGAAACAACGGGACACACGGCAGGAUAAUAUUGCCCCUAUCGAGAAUGAUCACAAUGUCAUCUGCAAACAUCAUAGUCCACGGAGACUUAUUGAGGAAAUUCAGUGAACGGAGUUAAACAGUGCAAAACAUGGAGUGAUAAACAAACAGAGUGCCUGCAAAAAAGCUUGAAGGUGGCACGAGCGACUCCAUUGGUGCUCUAAGUGAAAUUCCACAAGCUAAUAGGGGUUCAAACCAGGCUGUAAAUUCUGACUACGAGAGAAGUGGCUAUCACAAGGGCCACCUUUUUCC